GUGCCAACGUUGGCAGCAUGUGUGCUACAGUUGGAGUGACACAGAAGAGAUUGGUGUGGCCCCUGUGCGAGGAUGGUGCACAGCUUUGUGAAGCGGUCCAUGUUUUC
This 107-nucleotide small nuclear RNA is filed under the name Moschus moschiferus (Siberian musk deer). Lineage: Eukaryota; Metazoa; Chordata; Mammalia; Artiodactyla; Moschidae. The record is from RNAcentral.